Molecule: ribosomal RNA, 166 nt
Filed under: uncultured bacterium
Lineage: Bacteria
Description: partial 16S rRNA
Rfam family: Bacterial small subunit ribosomal RNA
Source: RNAcentral
UAGGGAAGUCUUCGGCAAUGGACGAAAGUCUGACCGAGCAGCGCCGCGUGAGUGAAGAAGGUUUUCGGAUCGUAAAACUCUGUUGGUAGAGAAGAACGUUGGUGAGAGUGGAAAGCCCAUCAAGUGACGGUAACUACCCAGAAAGGGACGGCUAACUACGUGCCAG